CGAUGUCGGCUCGUCACAUCCUGGGGCUGGAGAAGGUCCCAAGGGUUCGGCUGUUCGCCGAUUAAAGUGGCACGCGAGCUGGGUUCAGAACGUCGCGAGACAGUUCGGUCCCUAUCUGUUGUGGGCGCAGGAAGUUUGAGAGGAGCUGACACUAGUACGAGAGGACCGUGUCGGACAAACCUCUGGUGUACCAGUUGUGACGCCAGUUGCAUCGCUGGGUAGCUAAGUUUGGAUGAGAUAAGUGCUGAAAGCAUCUAAGCACGAAACUCGCCUCAAGAUGAGACUUCCCUUAAGGGUCGUUAAAGACGAUGACGUAGAUAGGCUGCAGGUGUAAAGGUGGUAACAUCAAAGCCGAGCAGUACUAAUCACCCGUGAGCUUCUUAUU
Molecule: ribosomal RNA, 385 nt
Filed under: Bacteroidales bacterium
Lineage: Bacteria; Pseudomonadati; Bacteroidota; Bacteroidia; Bacteroidales
Description: partial 23S ribosomal RNA
Rfam family: Bacterial large subunit ribosomal RNA
Source: RNAcentral